This 263-nucleotide ribosomal RNA is filed under the name uncultured bacterium. RNAcentral describes it as "partial 16S ribosomal RNA". It matches the Rfam family "Bacterial small subunit ribosomal RNA", at positions 333 to 612 of the family's 1533-position model. The record is from RNAcentral.
CUCUCCCUACGGGGGGCAGCAGUGGGGAAUAUUGCACAAUGGGGGAAACCCUGAUGCAGCAACGCCGCGUGAGUGAAGAAGGUUUUCGUAUUGUAAAGCUCUGUUAGCAGGGAAGAGUAAGGACGGUACCUGCAGAGGAAGCCACGGCUAACUACGUGCCAGCAGCCGCGGUAAUACGUAGGUGGCAAGCGUUUUUCGGAAUAACUUGGCUUAAAGGAUGCGUAGGCGGUUAAACAAGUUAUAUGUUAAAUAUAUAGGCUUAA